Molecule: long non-coding RNA, 845 nt
Organism: Oreochromis niloticus (Nile tilapia)
Lineage: Eukaryota; Metazoa; Chordata; Actinopteri; Cichliformes; Cichlidae
Exons: 3
Source: RefSeq, a predicted model, not a curated record
UAUGUAUGAAUUCUGGUUGUGUUUACUGACCUCGAAACGAUUUCAUGUGGUACACGCCGCUCAAAAAAUCUGUCAAAUGUUUUAGUACGACUUUGGUAAGCUACGAACCUGCACCGCUUGAUGGAUUGUAUGGCCCUAAUUUCUGCCUUUACAUGUAUGUAAACUCUUGUAAAUUACAGACAUCAGACUGUUCGUCUCCACUAUCCCCACUUUAAUUUUUAUAUGUAUUUUGUAUGCUUUGUACUCGACUUUGUCUACUCUGUGGUCAAAAUGGCUUGGUCCCAUUAAAACUUUUAAAAUCCUUUUGCUUUAAAUCUAGAAUAUACCAGUCAAGAAAUUUGAUGGAGUGCUGAGGAACAUGGAUUUAGCCCAAGCAAAAGUCAUGGCUAGUUAUGUACUGGCAUCACUGGCUGCGAGCGAGGAAGAGAAGAAACAGGUUGAGGAAGCAACAGUAGGACAAACACUGAAUGCACUGUGGCUGGUAUAUUGCAAGCAGACUAUCACAGCCAGCAACUUUGGUUUGGUCCUGGGUGCAGUCCAAUGGAGCUCAUACCCUCCUUCAUUAUUUAAGACUCUGCUUGGCCAGUAGAACCUGACAAAAUGAUUGAAACAUGUGAUUGGGGGAUCCUUUAUGAACCAAAGGCCAAGCAGCUGUAUACUGACUCUACUGGUGCAGUUAUCAAGGAGGAGACUGUUUUUAUCCAACAAUGGCCUGCUUGGUGGUUCUCCAGAUGGGAUAGUCAAGUCAAGUGAGCUUUAUUUGUAUAGCACAUUUAAAAGACAUCAAGUCUUGGCCAAAGUGCUGAACAGGGGUAUAAUGUAAACAAAUAAAAGAAAGAAUUGAA